This 77-nucleotide transfer RNA is filed under the name Boseongicola sp. RNAcentral's name for it is "tRNA-Ile". It matches the Rfam family "tRNA". Rfam says of the family: Transfer RNA (tRNA) molecules are approximately 80 nucleotides in length. Their secondary structure includes four short double-helical elements and three loops (D, anti-codon, and T loops). Further hydrogen bonds mediate the characteristic L-shaped molecular structure. tRNAs have two regions of fundamental functional importance: the anti-codon, which is responsible for specific mRNA codon recognition, and the 3' end, to which the tRNAs corresponding amino acid is attached (by aminoacyl-tRNA synthetases). tRNAs cope with the degeneracy of the genetic code in two manners: having more than one tRNA (with a specific anti-codon) for a particular amino acid; and 'wobble' base-pairing, i.e. permitting non-standard base-pairing at the 3rd anti-codon position. RNAcentral also lists the same sequence under 2 other names. Lineage: Bacteria; Pseudomonadati; Pseudomonadota; Alphaproteobacteria; Rhodobacterales; Paracoccaceae. The record is from RNAcentral.
GGGCCUGUAGCUCAAUUGAUUAGAGCAGUGCGCUCAUAACGCAUUGGUUGGGGGUUUGAGUCCCCCCGGGCCCACCA